GCUCCUAUCGUUUAAUGGUCAGGACUUUGCUUUUUCGUGGCAAAAAUGUGGGUUCGAGUCCACUAGGAGUA
This 71-nucleotide transfer RNA is filed under the name Rhodymenia pseudopalmata. RNAcentral describes it as "tRNA-Glu". It matches the Rfam family "tRNA". From Rfam's summary of the family: Transfer RNA (tRNA) molecules are approximately 80 nucleotides in length. Their secondary structure includes four short double-helical elements and three loops (D, anti-codon, and T loops). The record is from RNAcentral. Lineage: Eukaryota; Rhodophyta; Florideophyceae; Rhodymeniales; Rhodymeniaceae.